GACGAACGCUGGCGGCGUGCCUAAUACAUGCAAGUCGAGCGAACAGACGAGGAGCUUGCUCCUCUGACGUUAGCGGCGGACGGGUGAGUAACACGUGGAUAACCUACCUAUAAGUCUGGGAUAACUUCGGGAAACCGGAGCUAAUACUGGAUAAUCUAUUGAAGCGUAUGGUUCAAUUGUGAAUGACGGUUUUGGUGUUACUUAUAGAUGGAUUCGUGCCGCAUUAGCUAGUUGGUAAGGUAACGGCUUACCAAGGCUACGAUGCGUAGCCGACCUGAUAGGGUGGUCGGCCACACUGGAAGUGAGACACAGUCCAGACUCCUACGGGAGGCAGCAGUAUGGAAUGUUCCGCAAUGGGCGGAAGCCUUACGGAGCGACGCCGCGUGUGUGAUGAAGAUCUUCGGUUCGUGAAACCCUGUUAUUAGGGAAGAACAAAUGUCUAAGUAACUGUGCACUUCGUGACGGUACCUGGUCAGAAAGCCACGGCUAACUACGUG
RNAcentral lists this ribosomal RNA (497 nucleotides) under uncultured bacterium. RNAcentral's name for it is "partial 16S ribosomal RNA". It matches the Rfam family "Bacterial small subunit ribosomal RNA", at positions 28 to 507 of the family's 1533-position model. The record is from RNAcentral.